CGGACGGGUGAGUAACGCGUGGGUAACCUGCCUCACACUGGGGGAUAACAGUUAGAAAUAGCUGCUAAUACCGCAUAAGCGCACAGUUCCGCAUGGAACAGUGUGAAAAACUCCGGUGGUGUGAGAUGGACCCGCGUCUGAUUAGCCAGUUGGCGGGUAACGGCCCACCAAAGCGACGAUCAGUAGCCGGCCUGAGAGGGUGAACGGCCACAUUGGGACUGAGACACGGCCCAA
This 234-nucleotide ribosomal RNA is filed under the name uncultured bacterium. RNAcentral's name for it is "partial 16S ribosomal RNA". It matches the Rfam family "Bacterial small subunit ribosomal RNA", at positions 99 to 334 of the family's 1533-position model. The record is from RNAcentral.